This 226-nucleotide ribosomal RNA is filed under the name uncultured bacterium. RNAcentral describes it as "partial 16S ribosomal RNA". It matches the Rfam family "Bacterial small subunit ribosomal RNA", at positions 99 to 334 of the family's 1533-position model. The record is from RNAcentral.
CGGACGGGUGAGUAAUACAUAGGAAUCUGCCCUACAGUGGGGGACAACUUAGGGAAACUUAAGCUAAUACCGCAUAAUCUCUACGGAGGAAAGGGGGCUUCGGCUCUCGCUAUUGGAUGAGCCUAUGUCUGAUUAGCUUGUUGGUGGGGUAAAAGCCUACCAAGGCGACGAUCAGUAGCUGGUCUGAGAGGAUGAUCAGCCACACUGGGACUGAGACACGGCCCAG